Molecule: long non-coding RNA, 516 nt
Filed under: Brassica napus (rape)
Lineage: Eukaryota; Viridiplantae; Streptophyta; Magnoliopsida; Brassicales; Brassicaceae
Description: long non-coding RNA (BNAP_LNC015433)
Source: RNAcentral
AGUAUCUUCGAGUUUUGUGUUCCUUUUGCAUACAUGUCAUUGUAAGGUAUAAUCACUUUUCAAUCUUAUCUUGGUAUAAUUUUCUUCCAUACAAGGUGAUGAGAUCUAAUAUCUACACCUCUUUUUUGUUGUUGUUAUGUUUCACUGAUAUCUUAGAUAAAUUGGGAUAAAAACAUACGUGUCUAGUUUUAAAAACAAAAAGACCAUGCUGGUCUAAAUUCAAAAAUUGAGAAAUUCGAAACGUAUUUGGAUGUAUAUAGACUGUAUUAUAUUCUGUUUUAAAUAUUUUUAUUUGGUAAUAGUUAUUUAGAAAUUGUAAAUUUUAAUUCAAAUCUAAAUUUUCGUCCAGUGGCCCAUUGACAGGUGUAUACCAACUAAUAUUAUUUUCUUUCUUCUGCAAAGUUGAGCUUCUAAAAUAUUUACUCUUCCCCUUAGUUUUGGCAUCAAUAUAUCUAAAAAUAUUUAUGUCAUUUUAAGUAGAUUUUUUUAAAUAUGGAGUGCAAUUUCUCUAAUCUA